Molecule: ribosomal RNA, 1307 nt
Filed under: metagenome
Description: bacterial LSU rRNA
Rfam family: Bacterial large subunit ribosomal RNA
Source: RNAcentral
GCCUGAAUACCAGUGUGAACACCCCGGCAGUCAGACUACGUGGGAUAAGCUGCGUGGUCAAAAGGGAAACAGCCCAGAUCGACUGCUAAGGUCCCUAAAUUUCAGCUAAGUGGUAAAGGAAGUCAGAAUUCUUAGACAGCCAGGAGGUUGGCUUAGAAGCAGCCACCCUUAAAAGAGUGCGUAAUAGCUCACUGGUCGAUGUUUUCUGGCGCCGAAAAUGUAGCGGGGCUCAAGCUGAAUACCGAAGCAUCGGAUUGUUCCGUAAGGAAUAGUGGUAGGGGAGCGUUCUGUACGCCUGUGAAGCCGUAUCGUGAGAAGCGGUGGAGGUAUCAGAAGUGCGAAUGCCGGCAUGAGUAGCGUAAAGAGAUGUGAGAAUCAUCUCCGCCGAAAGCCUAAGGUUUCCUGGGCCAGGGUUUUCCACCCAGGGUUAGGCGGGACCUAAGUCGAGGUCGAGAGACGUAGAUGAUGGACAGCCGGUUAAGAUUCCGGCCCCACGGCAACUUGUUUGAUCAAUGGAGUGACGCAGAAAGAUAGCACUAGCGGCGUGUGGUUGUGCCGCGCUAAGCGUGUAGGGUGACAGGAUAGGCAAAUCCGUUCUGUUAAGCCUGAGGCGUGAUAGGGACCGAACUAAGUAGGGAACUGUGUGUGUCUACGCUGCCGAGAAAAACUUCUAGGUAGAGUUGUCGUGCCCGUACUGAAACCGACACUGGUGGGCAAGUAGAAUAUACUAUGGCGGCGGGUGAAGCCUUCUUAAGGAACUCGGCAAAUUAGCCCCGUAACCUAGGGAAAAGGGGUGCCUCUGAUGGUGAAAGAUUUACUCUGUAAGCUAUUGGAGGUCGCAGUGAAAGGGCUCAAGCGACUGUUUAACAAAAACACAGGUCUCUGCCAAGCCGCAAGGCGACGUAUAGGGGCUGACUCCUGCCCGGUGCUGGAACGUUAAGGGGAGGGCUCAGGGGUAACCCGAAGGCUUAAACCGAAGCGCCAGUAAACGGCGGCCGUAACUAUAACGGUCCUAAGGUAGCGAAAUUCCUUGUCGGGUAAGUUCCGACCCGCACGAAUGGAGUAACGACUUGAGCACUGUCUCGAGAAGGGGCCCGGCGAAAUUGCAUUACCUGUGAAGAUGCAGGUUACCCGCAGCAAGACGGAAAGACCCCGUGGAGCUUUACUGUAGCUUGAUGUUGAUUUUUGGUUCGUUCUGUACAGGAUACGUGGGAGACUUUGAUGGUGCUACGCCAGUAGUAUCGGAGUCAUCGUUGGGAUACCACGCUGGACGGGCUGGAAAUCUAACCUGGAGUGUAAUCCACUCC